This is a long non-coding RNA of Pungitius pungitius (ninespine stickleback), 288 nucleotides long. RefSeq lists it as uncharacterized. NCBI's taxonomy places the organism in Eukaryota, Metazoa, Chordata, Actinopteri, Perciformes, Gasterosteidae. The transcript is spliced from 3 exons. The record is from RefSeq and is a predicted model, not a curated record.
CAUCCACCAUAGAUGGCUUCAGAACCUCCUCUGGGUGGACGUUUUCCCCAGCUGACGCUGCGAGAGGAUUCCUCAGGCAGCUAAAGCGAACUCAUGUACGUGAGAUGAAGAUCUUCCCAUCAGCCCAGAAAAGCCACAGGGGCUGCAACCGAGGCCACUUUAUGGAUUGGAUGCAAUAAAAUCCAGUGAUAAAACAAAUAAGACCUGGCCUUCAAUCAAAGUGCUUUAACCAAACAGAAUGGAAGUUUUCCAUGGCCUCCAAAGCCAUGAAUCAAACCUUGAAAGGAG